This 20-nucleotide microRNA is filed under the name Pan troglodytes (chimpanzee). RNAcentral's name for it is "ptr-miR-676". Its record names the gene ptr-miR-676. The record is from miRBase by way of RNAcentral. Lineage: Eukaryota; Metazoa; Chordata; Mammalia; Primates; Hominidae.
CUGUCCUAAGGUUGUUGAGU